This 265-nucleotide ribosomal RNA is filed under the name uncultured bacterium. RNAcentral's name for it is "partial 16S ribosomal RNA". It matches the Rfam family "Bacterial small subunit ribosomal RNA", at positions 793 to 1055 of the family's 1533-position model. The record is from RNAcentral.
GUCCACGCCGUAAACGAUGGAUGCUAGCCGUCGGCAAGCUUGCUUGUCGGUGGCGCAGCUAACGCAUUAAGCAUCCCGCCUGGGGAGUACGGCCGCAAGGUUAAAACUCAAAGGAAUUGACGGGGGCCCCGCACAAGCGGUGGAGCAUGUGGUUUAAUUCGACGCAACGCGAAGAACCUUACCAGCUCUUGACAUGUCCGGAAGGUUUCCAGAGAUGGAUUCCCCCCAGCAAUGGGCCGGAACACAGGUGCUGCAUGGCUGUCGU